GAUGAACGCUAGCUACAGGCUUAACACAUGCAAGUCGUGGGGCAGCAUGAAGGAAGCUUGCUUCCUUUGAUGGCGACCGGCGCACGGGUGAGUAACGCGUAUCCAACCUUCCCUAUAGUAGAGAAUAGCCCGGCGAAAGUCGAAUUAAUGCUCUAUGUUCUUCUUUGAUGGCAUCUGACGAGAAGCAAAGGUUCACCGCUAUAGGAUGGGGAUGCGUCUGAUUAGCUUGUUGGCGGGGUAACGGCCCACCAAGGCGACGAUCAGUAGGGGUUCUGAGAGGAAGGUCCCCCACAUUGGUACUGAGACACGGACCAAACUCC
This 320-nucleotide ribosomal RNA is filed under the name uncultured Prevotella sp. RNAcentral describes it as "bacterial SSU rRNA". It matches the Rfam family "Bacterial small subunit ribosomal RNA", at positions 28 to 339 of the family's 1533-position model. The record is from RNAcentral. Lineage: Bacteria; Pseudomonadati; Bacteroidota; Bacteroidia; Bacteroidales; Prevotellaceae.